Molecule: long non-coding RNA, 1478 nt
Organism: Marmota flaviventris (yellow-bellied marmot)
Lineage: Eukaryota; Metazoa; Chordata; Mammalia; Rodentia; Sciuridae
Source: RefSeq, a predicted model, not a curated record
ACAGGGAAAAUGGAGCCUUGCUAUUUCCUUAGAAGUGAGGCAUUUUAUUUUCGGAUGCUGUUGGCAGUAUUUCAAGACAAUGAUGGGCUGCUGGAGGAAGGACACUAACAUCAUCCAUGCCUAUUCUGUGCCGGGCACGUGGGAUUUCCAGCAUUGUCCCACAGAAUCCUCAUCACACCCCUGCGAGUUAAUGAUUGAGUACCUUGUACAUGAAGAAUCUUACAGAGGAAAUGGUGAAGGAGAGACUGGAACGAAGCUCUGUUCAACCCUAAGACUCCUUGCUUCAUUUAACCAUCAGGCUUUACUAAGUCAAGGUGAACGAGAGUGGGAGAAGCCUAGCACCUGGAGAUGAUGCUAACCUGGAGAAGCAGUACUUUGCAGGUGACAUAUCUUGGGAGGAUGGGACACAGGGUGGCUACAGCUCACCCAGAACCAGUCCUUCAGGCAAGAUCAGGUGCCUCAGGAGCCAGCAGUUGAGCGCUAUGGGAGCUCUUGGGUCCAGAGUGGGUGGAGACAAGCAGACUUGGUCAAUAUCCAUUGGCCUCUCUCGGAUUGGUUCAGGAACCUCAGGGGGCGGGGCUUAAGCCUCAGGGAGCUGGAGCUGCUUGGUGCUGCUACCCCAGGGCUGGAGUCUCACGCUGUGACUUCUGGGACUUUGGCUUAGUGAUUUCACAACCUUGAGCCUCAGUUUUCUGGAAAGUGGAGAUAAUCUGAGUAUAUUCAAAUAUUAGUAUAGUAUAUUAUUAGAUAAUAAUUAAUUGUGUCGUUGGGAGGUUCGGUGAAGGGAUGCACGUGAAGGGUUAACAUGGGGCAGGGAAGGAUGGGUGCUCCAUAAAUAGCAGCAUAUUUUUGAGAGAUUACUACUCAGGGGAACCAGAGAAUCUUUUUCUAUUUUCUCUCCCAUUUCCUACUUUGGGAGGAAAGUGGGAGUGUAUUCAAGGGAGUAAAUAUAAUUCCUGUCUCGCCUCGCGUUUGCGCACUCUGAAUGCUUUUUAUUGGUUUUAUGGUUCACAACUCAUUUCACAGUUGUAAUUUGUCUCUUUCCUGGAAAAUAUUAAACUGUCAUAUAAAAGCAGUAGAUUUCUCAUGCUAGAAAUUUUGUCUGUGCUGUGCAUAAUAUUUUCAGAGUUCAUUCAUGUUGUAGCAUGUAUAAAAUCUCAUUUUCUGUACUGCUUUUUUUUUUUUUUCUUUUGUGGUAAGGAAUUGAGCCCAAGACCUUAUGCAUGCUAAGCCUGCUCGCUACCAUUAAGCUACAGCCCAGCCUUAAUUUGUUACUGUUAUACUUAUUUUCUUAUCACUUUUCUUCACUUGAAGGAAUGUAUUUAGAUCUAUUCCCAAGUUUAAGAGAAUCUUUCCAGACUUUUAUACUGGCCAACUUAAUUAUAUUUAGAUCAGUAAGGUAAGGUCACAAGAGCACAAGAGUUUAAUUUGUCACCAAGUUGGAGUAAAUACUGUAAUAAACAGAGUUUACUACUUUC